UAGAAGAACAGGAUUUGAACCUGCACAAAAAGACUCAAAAUCUUCAGCACUCCAUUAUACUAUCUUCU
This 68-nucleotide transfer RNA is filed under the name Phrynosoma mcallii (Flat-tail horned lizard). RNAcentral's name for it is "tRNA-Glu". The record is from RNAcentral. Lineage: Eukaryota; Metazoa; Chordata; Lepidosauria; Squamata; Phrynosomatidae.